Molecule: ribosomal RNA, 1004 nt
Filed under: uncultured bacterium
Lineage: Bacteria
Description: bacterial SSU rRNA
Rfam family: Bacterial small subunit ribosomal RNA
Source: RNAcentral
UCAUGGCUUACCGCGAAGAGACCGGUAAUUCCGGCAACGUUGGUAAACGAGGUGCAAGGUAAUCGAAUACUGGCGUAAAGCCCAGCAAGCGUUUUAAGUCAAAUGGAAUUCCCGGCUCAACCUGGAACUGCAUUUGAUACUGGCAAGCUGAGUCUCGUAGAGGGGUAGAAUUCCAGUGUAGCGGUGAAAUGCAUAGAAAUCUGAGGAAUACCGGUGGGAAAGGCGGCCCCCUGGACGAGACUGACGCUCAGGUGCGAAAGCGUGGGGAGCAAACAGGAUUAGAUACCCUGGUAGUCCACGCCGUAAACGAUGUCGACUUGGAGGUUGUGCCCUUGAGGCGUGGCUUCCGGAGCUAACGCGUUAAGUCGACCGCCUGGGGAGUACGGCCGCAAGGUUAAAACUCAAAUGAAUUGACGGGGGCCCGCACAAGCGGUGGAGCAUGUGGUUUAAUUCGAUGCAACGCGAAGAACCUUACCUGGUCUUGACAUCCACAGAACUUUCCAGAGAUGGAUUGGUGCCUUCGGGAACUGUGAGACAGGUGCUGCAUGGCUGUCGUCAGCUCGUGUUGUGAAAUGUUGGGUUAAGUCCCGCAACGAGCGCAACCCUUAUCCUUUGUUGCCAGCGGUCCGGCCGGGAACUCAAAGGAGACUGCCAGUGAUAAACUGGAGGAAGGUGGGGAUGACGUCAAGUCAUCAUGGCCCUUACGACCAGGGCUACACACGUGCUACGAUGGCGCAUACAAAGAGAAGCGACCUCGCGAGAGCAAGCGGACCUCAUAAAGUGCGUCGUAGUCCGGAUUGGAGUCUGCAACUCGACUCCAUGAAGUCGGAAUCGCUAGUAAUCGUGGAUCAGAAUGCCACGGUGAAUACGUUCCCGGGCCUUGUACACACCGCCCGUCACACCAUGGGAGUGGGUUGCAAAAGAAGUAGGUAGCUUAACCUUCGGGAGGGCGCUUACCACUUUGUGAUUCAUGACUGGGGUGAAGUCGUAACAAGGUAACCGUA